Long non-coding RNA from Raphanus sativus (radish), 935 nucleotides. RefSeq lists it as uncharacterized. The record is from RefSeq and is a predicted model, not a curated record. The transcript has 4 exons. Lineage: Eukaryota; Viridiplantae; Streptophyta; Magnoliopsida; Brassicales; Brassicaceae.
GAUAGGCUGGAAAUUCAGUCUCCCAGCGACUGACACGUGUCUCUGUCGAGUAAAACUAUGCGUUUCAUUUAAUUUUUUUUGUUGGGCUUUUGCGUAAUCCAUCUUUCUUAUGGGUUUCGAUUGGGCUUCAUACCCUAAUCUGGAUUGGAGCGCAUCUUCGUGUUCUUCGCUUCUCUCUGAUCGGCAGAAGGGACGAUUCAGCUUUCUGUAACAGUAUGCGUUGUGAUUUUCCGUAUUAAAUUCUCUUAAUUUGUAAGCCCACUACGAGACCUUCGAUUGCUCUGUACGUCGGCGAAAUCAGCCAUGAUGAAUCUGAGAUGGAGUUUUGAUGUUCUUUCUGGUCUUUUUAUUGUUGUAUCUGGUGAUGAUAUGAUACAGAAAGCGAAGAGAUAUGGGAUCUGCAUGUUUUCAAAAAGUGCACAGGAAAAAGCAGAGGUUGUCAGACAAGAGCUAAAGAAGGCUCACCAAGGAAAUAUGAGCCCUUGGCCGGAGCUUCUCACGCCAAAUGAAUCGUCCUUGAGCUCAUCCAAACUCUGGUAUAUGUAAGUGUGCUAGAGUACAACUUGUCAAGAAUGGAAAGAAGGACGAGGUUUUGAUCUCUGGAUUUGGGCGUAAGGGUCAUGCUGUGGGAGAUAUUCCAAGAGUAAGGUGCAAGGUCCAUUCGUCAAAGUUUCUGGUGUUUUACUCCCUUCUCUGUACAAGGACAAGAAGGAGAAGCCAAGGUCUUAAAACAAAACCUUCAAAGCUUUUGAAUUUUAUUUUUGAUGGCAUAGCACUUUUCAGUAUUUUAGUUAAAUAAAAGAACUUUAGUGUUCUGUUCUACUUUGAGAUUCAGUAACUUGGUGUGUGAAAACUUGUAUUCUGAUGAGCAUUUGAGUUUAGUUUAUUCGACCUUAUAAUAUGACAUUGCCAAUGGCAUGGAAUUCUAUUACUAA